CGGGAGAGUAACGCGUGGAAAACCUGCCGUAUACUGGGGGAUAACACUUAGAAAUAGGUGCUAAUACCGCAUAAGCGCACAGCUUCGCAUGAAGCAGUGUGAAAAACUCCGGUGGUAUACGAUGGUUCCGCGUCUGAUUAGCUAGUUGGUGAGGUAAAAGCCCACCAAGGCAGCGAUCAGUAGCCGGCCUGAGAGGGUGAACGGCCACAUUGGGACUGAGACACGGCCCAGACUCCUACGGGAGGCAGCAG
This 251-nucleotide ribosomal RNA is filed under the name uncultured bacterium. RNAcentral's name for it is "partial 16S ribosomal RNA". It matches the Rfam family "Bacterial small subunit ribosomal RNA", at positions 103 to 354 of the family's 1533-position model. The record is from RNAcentral.